UGAGAGUGCCAAUGUUGAGGCUGCUCGACUUCUUCAAGAAGCUGCAAGGAUUUUGAAGAGAGAGUCAGAAAGCACAGCCACUGCUGGCUCAGGAUCACAGACUGGUACUGGGACGUGUUCACCCAGUUCUUUUAGAGGUUUGUUUAACAACAUGCAAACCUCACUAGCUGAAGUACAACAGGGAACCCCUACAGUCGAUUCAGGCAGGAUUCCCUGCCCUAGAAAUGACCACAUUCAAAGAAAUCUUGUGCAGCUGUUUCAGCCAUGUGAUCGGGCAAGGGGGCAAAAGAUGUUCCAGAAAACUGGAAAGUGUAAACGGAAAACUACACACAGUGAAACCUGGACACGUGAUUUCUUUUGCUUACAGAGACCAAUGUUCAAACUGUGCCCAAUGGAGAAGACCGCAUUGGUUUACAGAAUUCAGCCCUUGGUAGGAAAAAAAUAACAUUUGCAGACAAAAAUUGAGGAUUUUCUGAACUAUGUGAAACUCUGUUUUCACAUUUUCCACAAUUGAAAGGUGCAGGAGGCUUUCAGAUGUUUUGGUCCGUUAAUAAAACCAAACAAUUGGCACCAAUUCCAAUGCCAGCCGGUGAGUACAGUGAGAAAUUUCUGAGAACUGAGAGUGGCCUGAACCAGGCAAUGGCCUACAUUCGACCACUUCAGAAAAACCUGGAGAGCAUUGCGAAGCGUGAGGCUGAAGAGGUAAGAACAGUUGUCAAAAUCUGAUCUCCUCUAUAUUCCUUCUUCUUCGCCUCCCUCUACAGACCUUUCUAUCUGAAUUUCCCUUGAUUCUAUCACCCUUUCCCCUUCCUCCUCUGCCCAAACCUUGGUGUCACCUUUGAUUCCUCCCUUUCCAACUCUCAACAUAUUUCUUCACUGGCACGCUCUUACUGUCUCUUUUUGAGCAAUAUCUAUUGCAUUAAACCUGCUGGACUAUGGCCCUCGACGAUCAGGACUGGAGAUCACUGGGUUAAGGUGUAAAUGCACAUGUAACACAUACUAUAAAAAUGAAGCAUGUUAAAAAUAAAUGUGUGUUUGUUUGUUGUAGUGUCAAGAGGUGGUCAUGGAGAAGUGCAAAAGGUGUGGAAAAGAUAUCCCUCUGCAAUGCCUUUCAGAACACAUUGAAAACUGUGGAAGGUCAUCUGUUUUUCUGGUGUAUUUGUCAUAUAAAUUGCUCAUUUACUUUUACAACAUAGUGGUUGACUUGUAUCUGUGGUAAAUAUGUUUUGACAUUCAAAGCAUGUAUGUCUUUGUUAACUGUUUUCAGACAGCCUGAUGACACUGAUUUGGAAGAUGAUGUCGUUAUGGAGAUAUCUGAAGAGACUCAACUAUCUAUGUCAUCACAUGACAACACAUCCCAUGUUCAAAAUUAUUACAACAAGUGCCAUGCUUCUUCUAGUGGACUGUACAGAGACUAUGUGGACCUUGUCAGUGAAGACAAUGUAUUUAGUGAUUCUGAAGAAGAGCAGCUGAAUAGAGUUCUAGAGGAAUCGCUAAAGGAAAGCUCGCAUGCAGCUUUUAAAUUUCAAAGUCAGACAAUUAAAAAGGAACUGGACGAGGCGGUUCGACUGGUAUGUUCUUCAGCGAACAAGAACACAGUUUGAAAGGUUGCAAGAAGGACUCCGUUCUCUCAGUGUAAUGGAUUCUAUGAAGGCCCACCCUGAAACCUUCAAACCUAUUUUCUGUCAAUCGACAGAGAAGCUGACUGCUGAUGUGCUUGAAGAGCUAUUCAAAGAGCAGCGAUCUGACUGUGGGAGUAACAAGUUUGAGAGAGAAAAUGAAGCAGUAUGUCAUUGGAGGGAUUAUCUCUUGGAUGUAGAGAUGGGGAUUUGUGGAGUUACCCUGGAGGACAUCCUUGUCUUUGCCACAGGAAGUGACAGUGUACCAGCAUUGGGCUUCAACCCUGCUCCAACUGUUGAAUUUUUGCAUGAUGGUUCACGGUUUCCACUUGCAAACACAUGUUCCAGCAUAUUAAGGGUACCAUGCAGGCAUUCAUACGAGUCCUUCAGGGAUGAUAUGGACUUUGGAAUUAAAAAUUCCCCAGGCUUUGGAAGGGCAUAACCAAAUUCCUUUGCUUACCAUACCUGUAGUCAAAGGGCACAAGUAUGUUCGAUCCUAAGAACAAUGUUAUGCAUGCCAAAGUGCUGCUAGAAUUUUUAUGUUUGUCAUUUUUGUUAUCUAUAAUUCUUUGUACACUUAAAUUUAGCAAGUGAGUCACCUUUGGUUGAGAAUUCUUACCUGUAGUUAUUAUUAUUGCAGAUAUUUAGCAGACACCUUUAUUAAGCACUACAAUUCAAUUUACUAAAAUAUUAAAAUGUAAUAGUUCAAUCUGUCAAUAUUAACAUCAGUGCUGAAAUGUUACAAGCCUUUAAAUAAAAGUAUAGGCUGGAUCUUUUCCCUCCUAAGGAUUUUUGGUAAUAGAGAAUUCUUAACAGUUGUUAAGUUGUUCCAAGAAAGAACAUUUUACUUUUCCUCCUUAUUAAUAAACACUAUUUGCAUUUCUGUGAUGUAAAGUCUGUUUGCAGCUUAUUUUUAAACUGAGAAUUAAAACACAAAUCCAUCAGCUAUAUUCACAUUAUAUUUAACACUACUUAAAUCAAAAUGGCAAAAUACUGUGAUACUCCAAGUUGACUAGAAAUUGGCCUUUACAAACUGGGUUUAAAAUAAAAAGGGUAAAAAUAAUUAUUUUUAUUAUAAAAACUAUUCACAUUAACACUUGCAGAGGUGAUGAGAAGAGAACCCUUGCUAAAACCUGAGUGCACUGUACAAUACAUGUUUGAAAGCCUUUUCAGGAUGAAAAGGAGCGGUUGUGGUAUGUAAAGGUCUUAAAACCUACAUUUAGGCAUUUCUGUUGUUUGCUACACUUAAUGCUUCUAAAUAAAGAUCAAGUCCGAAACAGCUGCUCGUCCUCAAAGGGUCAAUGUUGACUGGAAGGAGAGGAACCAGUGUGUCCUGCAAUGAAACUGGGGGCUCUGAUUCACGGCAGGCUCCAGGUCCUUCCAUAGUUAUCAAAAUCCAUCUAGUAAAAUGGAGACAAUCAAUUUAACAUGUUAAUUAGAUAUAUAAGGUAACCUUUAUUUGUAUCGCUGAAGAAAAGGAAGUACCAUAUCAGAGUUCCAAGUCUCACAGGAAGUGGGAUUUCCGCUGCUGUAGUUUGACAGUAGCCCUUGAAUCCAUAGCUGCUGUGGGGAUUUCAUGUGCUCCGAGGAUAGAGGACGUCGGUCCCACAUAUCAAGUUCUGUAAUAAUUUACCCAACACACGACGAGGAUGCUCCAGCAUAAAUCGAGCCACUUCAAUGUUUUCAAGGCCUUUGUCACUUCGGAC
This is a long non-coding RNA of Acipenser ruthenus (sterlet), 3325 nucleotides long. RefSeq lists it as uncharacterized. The record is from RefSeq and is a predicted model, not a curated record. Lineage: Eukaryota; Metazoa; Chordata; Actinopteri; Acipenseriformes; Acipenseridae. The transcript has 6 exons.